GACGAACGCUGGCGGCGUGCUUAACACAUGCAAGUCGAACGGAAAGGCCCUGCUUUUGUGGGGUGCUCGAGUGGCGAACGGGUGAGUAACACGUGAGUAACCUGCCCUUGACUUUGGGAUAACUUCAGGAAACUGGGGCUAAUACCGGAUAGGAGCUCCUGCUGCAUGGUGGGGGUUGGAAAGUUUCGGCGGUUGGGGAUGGACUCGCGGCUUAUCAGCUUGUUGGUGGGGUAGUGGCUUACCAAGGCUUUGACGGGUAGCCGGCCUGAGAGGGUGACCGGCCACCUUGGGACUGAGAGACGGCCCAGACUCCUACGGUAGGCAGCAGUGGGGAAUAUUGCACAAUGGGCGCAAGCCUGAUGCAGCAGCGCCGCGGGCGGGAUGACGGCCUUCGGGUUGUAAACCGCUUUCGCCUGUGACGAAGCGUGAGUGACGGUAAUGGGUAAAGAAGCACCGGCUAACUACGUG
This 468-nucleotide ribosomal RNA is filed under the name uncultured bacterium. RNAcentral describes it as "partial 16S ribosomal RNA". It matches the Rfam family "Bacterial small subunit ribosomal RNA", at positions 28 to 507 of the family's 1533-position model. The record is from RNAcentral.